RNAcentral lists this ribosomal RNA (802 nucleotides) under uncultured Bacillota bacterium. RNAcentral's name for it is "bacterial SSU rRNA". It matches the Rfam family "Bacterial small subunit ribosomal RNA", at positions 71 to 853 of the family's 1533-position model. Lineage: Bacteria; Bacillati; Bacillota. The record is from RNAcentral.
AAAGUGGAGCAAUCCAUGAGUAGAGUGGCGAACGGGUGAGUAACACGUGGGUGACCUACCUUCGAAUGGGGGAUAACGUCCCGAAAGGGACGCUAAUACCGCAUAACAUCCUGUCCUUGAACGGAUGGUGAUCAAAGCCGGGGAUCGCAAGACCUGGCGUUUGAAGAGGGGCCCGCGUCCGAUUAGCUAGUUGGUGAGGUAACGGCUCACCAAGGCGACGAUCGGUAACCGGCCUGAGAGGGCGGACGGUCACACUGGGACUGAGACACGGCCCAGACUCCUACGGGAGGCAGCAGUGGGGAAUUGUUCACAAUGGGCGCAAGCCUGAUGACGCAACGCCGCGUGGAGGAUGAAGGUCUUCGGAUUGUAAACUCCUGUUGCUCGGGACGAAAAGCUUUGACCUAACACGUCAAAGUCUGACGGUACCGAGUGAGGAAGCCCCGGCUAACUCUGUGCCAGCAGCCGCGGUAAUACAGAGGGGGCAAGCGUUGUUCGGAAUUACUGGGCGUAAAGGGCGCGUAGGUGGCCUUCUAAGUUGAACGUGAAAUCCCUGGGCUCAACCCAGGAACUGCGUCCAAGACUGGGAGGCUUGAAUCCGGGAGAGGGAUGCGGAAUUCCAGGUGUAGCGGUGAAAUGCGUAGAUAUCUGGAGGAACACCGGUGGCGAAGGCGGCAUCCUGGACCGGUAUUGACACUGAGGCGCGAAAGCCAGGGGAGCAAACGGGAUUAGAUACCCCGGUAGUCCUGGCCCUAAACGAUGAAUGCUUGGUGUGGCGGGUAUCGAUCCCUGCCGUGCCGAAGCU